Molecule: ribosomal RNA, 279 nt
Filed under: Triticum aestivum (bread wheat)
Lineage: Eukaryota; Viridiplantae; Streptophyta; Magnoliopsida; Poales; Poaceae
Description: partial small subunit ribosomal RNA
Source: RNAcentral
AUGUAUACAUCUAAACAACCUUUUCUUAAAUCUAAGCAACCCUUUAGUAAAUCCAAGCAAACUUUUAAUAAAUCCAAGCAACCCUUUCGUAAAUCCAAGCAAACUUUUUGUAAAUCUAAACAACCUUUUCGUAGGCGUCCUUGGAUUGGCCCGGGAGAUCGAAUUGAUUAUAGAAACAUGAGUUUAAUUAAUAUAUUUAUUAGUGAACAAGGAAAAAAAUUAUCGAUUUCGUUCCGUCUGACUUCGACUUUAAAUUAUACGACGAUCGAUAUAAAAUAA